GACAGAGGCCUCAAGCGUUAGGCGGAAUCACUGGGCUUAAAGCGUGUGUAGGCGGAUCGUUAAGUGUCUUGUGAAAUCCCACGGCUCACCCGUGGAACUGCUGGGCAUACUGGCGAUCUUGGGCCAACUAGGGGCAACUGGAACAAGCGGUGGAGCGGUGAAAUGCGUAGAUAUCGCUUGGAACGCCAAAGGGUGAAAACAGGUUGCUGGGGUUGUGC
RNAcentral lists this ribosomal RNA (218 nucleotides) under uncultured bacterium. RNAcentral's name for it is "partial 16S ribosomal RNA". It matches the Rfam family "Bacterial small subunit ribosomal RNA", at positions 524 to 740 of the family's 1533-position model. The record is from RNAcentral.